AAGCCAGCUAAAGGAGAAAUCCAGAUCGGCCCACAAAUAACGGAGAAAAGAAGAAUGUUCCGGUCACAGGAAACCAUCGCACGCCUUGGAGUCCUAUCCACGGAUCAAGGACAUCAGGAGGAAAUUAAGGAUCAAGGAUAUUUUUCCUGUCGAGUGGCGGAGAACUCGCCAUUAGGCGUGUCGAAUUAUCUUAUUGAAUCUUUUCCGAGGAUCUUCCCGAUCACGGGAUGGAGAAAUGGAGAAAACCGGAUAUACAUAUACAUUACUGACAUCGCCUUCCCACCUGCACCACGGAUUACCACAUCCUGGAUUCCUAUCUAUGACUAGGUUAUUGGCUCAGACCAGGGACCAGCGAUCCACGGCGGAAUUGUUGGCUCACGCCCUCGCUAAAUAUUGGUAACCAUUCGUUCGCCGCCGAAUAAAACGCUGCGCUUCAGCUUUGAGACGCAGGACUUAUGUAUGUACCCUACGCUUUGCCACAAACCGAGUCCAGACGGAGUCCUAUCAAAGUAUCCCAGCCAGACGGAAUCGUAUCCCAGCAGGACGAAAGCACACCCCUUGCAAAAUCCGAGCCUUCGUCAUCCUUCUACCUUGUCAUCGACAACCAGGACUUUGACUAUGGCAACCAAGGGAGGGGCUACGCAGACUUCUAGAUUCUGGAAAGAUCUCGUUGUUGUUAGGUUUAAGGAUACACGUCUAUAUACUAAGAUAGUAGAUAUAAAUGUUUUCCACUUUCCAUAACUAAGUUA
This 749-nucleotide small RNA is filed under the name Drosophila pseudoobscura pseudoobscura. RNAcentral describes it as "GA32963". The record is from RNAcentral. Lineage: Eukaryota; Metazoa; Arthropoda; Insecta; Diptera; Drosophilidae.